RNAcentral lists this ribosomal RNA (233 nucleotides) under uncultured bacterium. RNAcentral's name for it is "partial 16S ribosomal RNA". It matches the Rfam family "Bacterial small subunit ribosomal RNA", at positions 103 to 339 of the family's 1533-position model. The record is from RNAcentral.
CGGGUGAGUAACGCGUAGGAAUCUAUCCUUUAGCGGGGGACAACUCGAGGAAACUCGAGCUAAUACCGCAUAAUCUUGAAAAAGCAAAGCUUGGGAUCUUCGGACCAAGCACUAAAGGGUGAGCCUGCGUCGGAUUAGCUUGUUGGUGGGGUAAUGGCCUACCAAGGCAAUGAUCUGUAGCUGGUCUGAGAGGAUGACCAGCCACACUGGGACUGAGACACGGCCCAGACUCC